RNAcentral lists this ribosomal RNA (320 nucleotides) under uncultured Chloroflexota bacterium. RNAcentral's name for it is "bacterial SSU rRNA". It matches the Rfam family "Bacterial small subunit ribosomal RNA", at positions 28 to 351 of the family's 1533-position model. Lineage: Bacteria; Bacillati; Chloroflexota. The record is from RNAcentral.
GAUGAACGCUGGCGGCGUGCUUAAUACAUGCAAGUCGAACGGAGAGCUAGCAAUAGUUCUUAGUGGCGAACGGGUGAGUAACGCGUUGGUGACCUGCCCCAAAGCGGGGGAUAACAGUUCGAAAGGACUGCUAAUACCCCAUGAGAUCCAAGAGAUUAGAGGCUUAUGGAUGAAAGGAGCAAUCCGUUUUGGGAGGGGCCUGCGUCCCAUCAGCUAGUUGGUAGGGUAAAAGCCUACCAAGGCGACGACGGGUAGGGGGCCUGAGAGGGUGACCCCCCACACUGGCACUGAAACACGGGCCAGACACCUACGGGAGGCUG